CCUACGGGAGGCAGCAGUGGGGAAUUUUGGACAAUGGGCGAAAGCCUGAUCCAGCAAUGCCGCGUGCAGGAAGAAGGCCUUCGGGUUGUAAACUGCUUUUGUACGGAACGAAACGGUCUGCUUUAAUACAGUGGGCUAAUGACGGUACCGUAAGAAUAAGCACCGGCUAACUACGUGCCAGCAGCCGCGGUAAUACGUAGGGUGCGAGCGUUAAUCGGAAUUACUGGGCGUAAAGCGUGCGCAGGCGGUUAUAUAAGACAGUUGUGAAAUCCCCGGGCUCAACCUGGGAAUUGCAUCUGUGACUGUAUAGCUAGAGUACGGUAGAGGGGGAUGGAAUUCCGCGUGUAGCAGUGAAAUGCGUAGAUAUGCGGAGGAACACCGAUGGCGAAGGCAAUCCCCUGGACCUGUACUGACGCUCAUGCACGAAAGCGUGGGGAGCAAACAGGAUUAGAUACCCUGGUAGUCCACGCCCUAAACGAUGUCAACUGGUUGUUGGGUGCAUUAGUACUCAGUAACGAAGCUAACGCGUGAAGUUGACCGCCUGGGGAUACGGCCGCAAGGUUGAAACUCAAAGGAAUUGACGGCUGAGACGNGCGAGACGACGACGAGGGAGGAGG
RNAcentral lists this ribosomal RNA (617 nucleotides) under uncultured bacterium. RNAcentral's name for it is "bacterial SSU rRNA". It matches the Rfam family "Bacterial small subunit ribosomal RNA", at positions 338 to 948 of the family's 1533-position model. The record is from RNAcentral.